Molecule: long non-coding RNA, 383 nt
Organism: Hipposideros armiger (great roundleaf bat)
Lineage: Eukaryota; Metazoa; Chordata; Mammalia; Chiroptera; Hipposideridae
Exons: 3
Source: RefSeq, a predicted model, not a curated record
UCAUCUUGGAACAGGGCUUGGAUCUGUUGCAGGUCACCAGAGAACAGGGUAUUGUGGACCACUGGGUCUCGGCAGGAGCGGCGCGGCCUACUACUGUGGCCACGUGAGGGUGAAGACAGUUGUGAGAACGCCUCUCCCCACCCUCCGAGAAGGACAUGGUUUCUAGAAACUGCCAUCACUUUGAAGACCCUCCCCUUCUGCACUUCCUUCCAUGACUCCCCCCAACAGUGAAGCUAUUCUGGGACUGGACAGUGCUGGAACCCUGCUUCUCUCCUUCACCCCUCAAUGGCCUGGAGGCUCUGGCUUCUUCCAGAGCGGGGGAUGGCAAACUUUUGAGACGGAAGAGCCAAUCCUGUCCCUCACAACAAUUCAAAAAUUAUUCG